ACGGAAGGCAGCAGUGAGGAAUAUUGGUCAAUGGGCGGAAGCCUGAACCAGCCAAGUCGCGUGAAGGAUGAAGGUAUUAUGUAUUGUAAACUUCUUUAGACGUAGAGAAAUAAGCGGGACGCGUCCCGCGAUGCUAGUAUGCGUAGAAUAAGGAUCGGCUAACUCCGUGCCAGCAGCCGCGGUAAUACGGAGGAUCCGAGCGUUAUCCGGAUUUAUUGGGUUUAAAGGGUGCGCAGGCGGUCUUUUAAGUCAGUGGUAAAAUCGGGGAGCUCAACUCCAUCCCGCCAUUGAUACUGGAGGACUUGAUUGCGGUCGAGGUUGGCGGAAUUCGCCGUGUAGCGGUGAAAUGCAUAGAUAUGGCGAAGAACUCCGAUUGCGUAGGCAGCUGACCAGGCCGUAAAUGACGCUCAUGCACGAAAGUGCGGGGAUCGAACAGGAUUAGAUACCCUGGUA
RNAcentral lists this ribosomal RNA (453 nucleotides) under uncultured bacterium. RNAcentral's name for it is "partial 16S ribosomal RNA". It matches the Rfam family "Bacterial small subunit ribosomal RNA", at positions 341 to 792 of the family's 1533-position model. The record is from RNAcentral.